RNAcentral lists this ribosomal RNA (253 nucleotides) under uncultured bacterium. RNAcentral describes it as "partial 16S ribosomal RNA". It matches the Rfam family "Bacterial small subunit ribosomal RNA", at positions 524 to 776 of the family's 1533-position model. The record is from RNAcentral.
UACGGAGGGUGCGAGCGUUGUCCGGAAUCACUGGGCGUAAAGGGCGCGUAGGCGGCCUCUUAAGGGGGCGGUGAAAGCCCGGGGCUUAACCCCGGGUCGGCCGUGCCGACUGGGAGGCUGGAGCACUGUAGAGGCGGGUGGAAUUCCGGGUGUAGCGGUGGAAUGCGUAGAGAUCCGGAAGAACACCGGUGGCGAAGGCGGCCCGCUGGGCAGUGGCUGACGCUGAGGCGCGACAGCGUGGGGAGCAAACAGG